CUCAGUUCGGAUUGGAGUCUGNAACCCGACUCCAUGAAGCUGGAUUCGCUAGUAAUCGCGCAUCAGCCACGGCGCGGUGAAUACGUUCCCGGGCCUUGUACACACCGCCCGUCAAGCCAUGGAAGCCGGGAGUGCCUGAAGUACGCGACCGCAAGGAGCGUCCUAAGGUAAAACCGGUGACUGGGGCUAAGUCGUAACAAGGUAAC
Molecule: ribosomal RNA, 206 nt
Filed under: uncultured bacterium
Lineage: Bacteria
Description: partial 16S ribosomal RNA
Rfam family: Bacterial small subunit ribosomal RNA
Source: RNAcentral